GGCGGCGUGCUUCCACAUGCAAGAGAAAAGAGAAAGUGGAGCAAUCCAUGAGUAAAGUGGCGACCGGUUGCCUAACACGUGAUCAACCUGCCCUCGAGUGGGGAAUAACUCCGGGAAACCGGAGCUAAUACCGCAUAACAUCUUCGGAACUCAAGUUCUGUUGAUCAAAGCAGCAAUGCGCUUGAGGAGGGGGUCGCGGCUGAUUAGCUAGUUGGUAGGGUAAUGGCCUACCAAGGCUGAGAUCGGUAUCCGGCCUGAGAGGGCGCACGGACACACUGGAACUGAAACACGGUCCAGACUCCUACGGGAGGCAGCAGUGGG
Molecule: ribosomal RNA, 321 nt
Filed under: uncultured Acidobacteriota bacterium
Lineage: Bacteria; Pseudomonadati; Acidobacteriota
Description: bacterial SSU rRNA
Rfam family: Bacterial small subunit ribosomal RNA
Source: RNAcentral